CCUACGGGUGGCAGCAGUCGAGAAUCAUUCACAAUGGGGGAAACCCUGAUGCUGCGACGCCGCGUGGGGGAAUGAAGGUCUUCGGUUUGUAAACCCCUGUCAUGUGGGAGCAAAUUAAAAAGAUAGUACCAUAAGAGGAAGAGACGGCUAACUCUGCGCCAGCAGCCGCGGUAAUACAGAGGUCUCAAGCGUUGUUCGGAAUCACUGGGCGUAAAGCGUGCGUAGGCUGUUUCGUAAGUCGGGUGUGAAAGGCGCGGGCUCAACCCGAGGACGGCACAUGAUACUGCGAGACUAGAGUAAUGGAGGGGGAACCGGAAUUCUCGGUGUAGCAGUGAAAUGCGUAGAUAUCGAGAGGAACACUCGUGGCGAAGGCGGGUUCCUGGACAUUAACUGACGCUGAGGCACGAAGGCCAGGGGAGCGAAAGGGAUUAGAUACCCUGGUAGUC
RNAcentral lists this ribosomal RNA (446 nucleotides) under uncultured bacterium. RNAcentral's name for it is "partial 16S ribosomal RNA". It matches the Rfam family "Bacterial small subunit ribosomal RNA", at positions 338 to 795 of the family's 1533-position model. The record is from RNAcentral.